Molecule: transfer RNA, 4756 nt
Filed under: Sus scrofa (pig)
Lineage: Eukaryota; Metazoa; Chordata; Mammalia; Artiodactyla; Suidae
Description: lncRNA (ENSSSCG00060061044.1)
Rfam family: tRNA (bases 710-782)
Source: RNAcentral
AUGGGAGUCGGCAAGGAGGCUGAUGGGGAAGGAGCGGCUUGGCGGGGCUGGGGACGGGCCAGGAGAGCAGACCGGCCCCCGCCCCAGGCCGCUGAGGCUGCCCGGCUGCAACGUGGGCUCCGGGCCAGCAGGGGCCAGCUCCCCACUCCUCCCGGAACCCCAGUCGAUGCCAAGCCUUCAGAUGACCGGGAAGCCUGCAAUACCGCCUGCGCUCCUUUGGAGCCGGAGGGGGAAAGCUUAUCGCCAGGCCGGGCUGGGGGCCCUGGGGUCUCUAACCAAGAUCUUGGGAAGAGUCGAGACUCCUGGAGGAGCCGGUGCAGCACUGGAGGUCCACACACACCUGGCACUAGCGAGAGGAGAAGCAGAGACCGAGGUGUGCCCCCAAAUCCGCACGUUGAAAACGAACCCCCGGGGUUAUGGUGGCAGGAGGCAGAGCCUCUGGGAGCUGAGCAGGCAGGAGGGUGGAGCCUCGGGACCGGCGCGUCCUCAGGAAAGGGGCCCAGAGGCUCCCUCGCCCCUGCUCCCUGCGAGGACACAGAGAAAACCAUGGCCACCGCUGAGCCAGGAAGAGGACCCCGCCUGACACCGUAUCUGGCGGCGAGUCAGACUCAGCCCCCAGGACAGUUGGGACUAAGUUUCUGUUGUUUAUAAGCCACCAGGCUGCGGUGUUUUGUUAUGCGGGCAAAUUAAGACGCCCCCUCACAGGAGUUCCCUGGUGGCCUAGUGGUUAGGAUUUGGCACUUUCACUGCUGUGGUCCCAGGUUCAAUCCCUGGUCUGGGAACUUGUGCAAGCCACAGGUGUGGCCAAAAAACCCAAAAAACAAAUAAACAAAAGAACACACACCCCACCACACACACGCUCAGCAUCAUGAUACGAGGGCCUGAGGCCUGGGGAAGACUUCGGAUGCCCUGAGGACAGCCCCUGGAGAGAGGAGGUGUGUCAAACCCCCUUUUCUGAGACAGUGGAGGCUCAGCAGCAGAGGCUCAGAGAGGUAAAGCCUUCUGCCUAAGGUCACACAGCUCAGAGAAAGGAAUAAAGCCAGGAGACGUGAUUCUAAUGCUGUAUUUACCAUCUUUUGCAUUAGAUCCACCUGGAACUCGGAGGUGGCCUUGCUUGCCUGGUUAGAGCUAUAGGGUGAGCAGCAGGCAUGACCCUGGGUGGGAACCACAGCGUGAAUCCAGGGCGAGCAGGGGCUCAGCUUUGGUUGAGUGCUUUCAAACAGGCACGGGAUUCCUCUGUGCCUCCUGGUGAAGUGCAUUUCAUGGCGAUGCCCUCUAAGAUGAAAGGGUGGGUGACACAGAGGGUGGCCAAAGGCCUCCCCUAAGGAUGGCCUCAUUGCAGGCUUGGGCAUGGCUCCAGCGGAACAGCAGGGAGAUGAGAAAGCCACCAGCCCGAGAGACGGUGAAGGUCAAAAGCAGCCCUGGUUACCAGCGCCACCCUCCUAAGCCUGCGUUGCCAAGGCAACGCUCCUCCGUGCUAUCCGUCCCCGCAUGGGGUCCGCUGUGACGAAGGCGAGAGCCUCCCUAGAAAGGGCUUGAAGCUGGUCUGAGGGAACUGGCUGCUCAGCCCGCCGCACCCGGUCGCAAGCAGUGGCCACAGGCACCGUCCUCUCCCAGCCUCCCUGGUCGUGGUCAAGGUUCUGGAGAAAGAGGCGGUGCCCCUCAUCUCCCACCUGUGACAGCCUCCCCGCUGCUGUGUGGAGCGGUCGUGGCCACACACUGGCCGGCCCCUCCCUCACCCCCAUUGCAGGCAAAAGGCGACAGAGCUUGAGGAGCCAGAAUAGAGCCCACCCACCCAGGACGGGGAAGGGGGCGGGACUAUUGCAAAAGAGCACAAACUCAGAGCUACAUUCUGGGUCUUUGUCCCCGGUUUCUGGCACAGGGGCUUCUAAAACCCUUGGAAUUUCCUGAGUGAUUGGGUUCGAGGAGCAUCUUUUCGCAUUUAUCUGAGACCCUUUAGAUCGUACCUGAGUUUACGCCAAUGUGGCGACUCUCGGUGGGCCGCUGGCAGCCUCAGGAUGGUGCUGGCAGCCGCAGGACCCAACCGCUUCCUUAAAGCUUGGAACUUUUAGCCCCACCCCCUGACCUCUGGGAAGGGGAGAGGGGCUGGAGGCUGAGAGAAUCCCCACCGGUAGGGAUGUAGCCAAUCACGAUCACGCCAUGAAGCCUCCGUCUAAACACCUACCCGAUGAGGCUCAGGUGCUGGGAGGGGCUGCCCCGGGCGCUCGCCCACACCUGCGUAUCGCUUCAGUUGCCUGUUUCAGCAAUGCAUCCUUUAGAAUAAACUGGAAUUGCCAAGUACAGUGUUUCCCUGAGUUUGAAUCAUUCCAGCAAAUCCUACAAGCUGAGGAGGGGGGGUCUCAGGAACCCCCCAGGGACUUGCGAUUGGCUUCUGAAGUGGGGGCGGGUAGGGGACUGAGCCCUUACACCGAGGCGUCUGCACUUGCUCUGGGUACCGUCAGAGAGCGCGAGGCGUGGUGUUGGAAACGACACUACCAAUUUGGUGUCAGGAGGGAAACCCUCUCAUCUGGAGUCAGAAGUGUUGUAACAGCAGCCCAAGCAGCAAAGGCAUCAGAGCUUUCAAAGCUCCUAGGUGGUUCCAGCACAAAGCCACGGUCACUGUCACUGGUCUAGACCUGGGGGCUUUGCACUUAAGGGCCCCAGAAUCCCUGGAGGACGUGGAAACACAGAUGGCAGCCCCCUCAGAUCUCUGACUCGGAGGGAGCGUGUGCACUGCUAACAAGUGUCCCUUCUACGCGGGGCGACUGCUCACGGACCCCACUUGGAGAACCGCUGGUGCAGUUCAGAUGCUCUGCUCUGAAGCUGACCCAAGCUGGCCCAGCGUCUCACCGCUUGUUCACAUCACCUUCUUAGGACUCCAAACAAGGCUCUUGUUCGAAGUGUUUGGGUUCCCCCAGGGUGUAGACAUGGGCGUGGCAAAGGCUGGCGUAGCUCUGCAUUCACUUUUGUUUGUUGAAUGCAUGAACUGAUUCGUUCAUUCAACCAAGAUGCGAGGGUUACCACGCUCCUGCUCUGAGCUGGGCGUGCCUGGGAUCGAUGGUGGAAGAGAUGAAAUCAGUCGGAGACACACGUGGCGUGGGCUGGGCGGGAGGGUGCGUUGUGGACACAGGGCGGGCAGCUGUCUCCAGGCUGAAGACAGAGAGGUGCUCCCAGAGGCCAGGUGUCUGAGCCACUGGUCCCCAGCGUGUGGGCUGAGGACCAGCAGGACUAGCCUUACUGGGGGCUGGUUAGAAAUGCAGAGGCUCAGGCCCCUUUGAGCAAGCGCGUGAGCUCGGAGUCUCCUCCGAGUGUGAGAGGCCCCCGGAUCCGAACGACGCCCGGAAUUAACCUGGUGAAGAGGAGCAAAAAGAGCAUUCCAGAAGAAGCAGCCAUCCGUGAAACCAUCUGUGUGUGUUCUAAGGAGGAAAAGAAGUUCCAGUGACCAGAGCUAGAAUUUGGGGGUGUGCAGACGAGAAGCUUCUUUCCGUGUGAAGGGCCCACCACCUCUGGCCGCUCUCAGCUGCUUAACUGGGCAACCGACCCUCUGGUUUGCCAGGUAGGGGGCUUCCAGUGGGUCACCAGCCUUUAACUGCCCCAGGAGGUGGGGGUUCCUCACUGGUAAACCUGGGCUGCUGUUUUGGUGACGUCCCAGGAGCAGAUUUGCUCUGUGGAGAGUCAGCUCCGCCUCCCUGUGGCACCUGGACUGCAGGCCAUGCCCAGGUGGGGGCUGAGCAGGGAGUGUCACCAGGAAGCUCCAGAAAAGAGAGGCAGGAAAAGGACCAUUUGUCUCAGUCUCUUUGGGAGAAGCUGGUCCCUCUGGGUCCAGGGCAGGGACUUGAGAGAUGAAAGUGGGGGGGGGGUCCCACUUUCCAGAAGAGGAGCCUGGGGCCGGGGUGCAUAGGGGAGCAGGGAGGGCCCCGGUCUGCUCCACUCCACAGCCAAGGACUGGAACUCAGGUCACCGGGCCCGGGCCCGGGCCCGGUCUCAGCCAGCUGCCUCUGUGACCAUGCCUGGCAAACACCAGCCAUCCCAUCCCGACACCCUCUGACCGUUAGAACGAGCCUCCUCAAGUUAAGCCCAAACCUGUCUCUCGGCCUCCCGGGUCCUGGGGAGAUGUGCUCCACGAUCCACUCAAACAGCCCUUGCCGAUCCCUCUUGGAGCACUUUGGCGGGAUCAGAUUCUCUUUCGGUGCCUGGGUAGCACCCAAGGCGUCCCAGGUGGGAAUACGGGGGCGGGGGCCCCCGGGACGGGGCCGCACUCAGCCCUGCAGGAUUCUGCCUGGAGAACGCACGUGGCCACUGGGCAACUCCUGCGCCCAGAGCUCUGAGCAGCCCCGUAGAGGAGGGAUGGAAUCCUCAGCGGGCCACGUCCUGAUCCCCAGAACUUGUCAGUUUGACCUUGGAAAGAGUUCUUGGCAGAUGUGAUUAAGAUAAUGGCCUUGAGAGGAGACCGCUGUGGAUUUGGGGUGACCCUCCAUCCAAAGAGAGAAGAAGAGGGGGUUCGAAGCCCAGAGAGACACAGGGAGAAGGCCCGAGCUGAGAGGCAGAGACCGGGGUGAUGCAGCCGCAAGCCAAGGAGGCCAAGGAAAGCCUGGAGCUGCCAGAAGCUGGGCCAGAGGCACCCAGAAUUGUCCCCCAGGGCUUCCAGGAGGGAGCAACCCUGCCCACACCCUGAUUUCAGACUUCCGGUCACUAGAACUGUGGGAGAACAAAGCUGUGUUUUUUCGGCUCCCGCCCCCUACAGUUUGUGCUAAUC